This 1360-nucleotide long non-coding RNA is filed under the name Salmo salar (Atlantic salmon). RNAcentral's name for it is "lncRNA (ENSSSAG00000112510.1)". The record is from RNAcentral. Lineage: Eukaryota; Metazoa; Chordata; Actinopteri; Salmoniformes; Salmonidae.
GGAGAGUAGUAGAGAGUAGUAGAAUCAGGAGAGGAGAGUAGUAGAGGAGAGUAGUAGAAUCAGUAGAGGAGAGUAGUAGAGGAGAGUAGUAGAAUCAGUAGAGGAGAGUAGUAGAGGAGAGUAUUAGAAUCAGUAGAGGAGAGUAUUAGAAUCAGGAGAGGAGAGUAGUAGAGAGUAGUAGAAUCAGGAGAGGAAAGUAGUAGAGAGUAGUAGAAUCAGGAGAGGAGAGUAGUAGAGAGUAGUAGAAUCAGGAGAGGAGAGUAGUAGAAUCAGGAGAGGAGAGUAGUAGAGGAGAGUAUUAGAAUCAGUAGAGGAGAGUAUUAGAAUCAGGAGAGGAGAGUAGUAGAGAGUAGUAGAAUCAGGAGAGGAGAGUAGUAGAAUCAGGAGAGGAGAGUAGUAGAAUCAGGUGAGGAGAGUAGUAGAGAGUAGUAGAAUCAGGUGAGGAGAGUAGUAGAGAGUAGUAGAAUCAGGUGAGGAGAGUAGUAGAGAGUAGUAGAAUCAGGAGAGGAGAGUAGUAGAGAGUAGUAAAAUCAGGAGAGGAGAGUAGUAGAAUCAGGAGAGGAGAGUAGUAGAAUCAGGAGAGGAGAGUAGUAGAAUCAGGAGAGGAGAGUAGUAGAAUCAGGAGAGGAGAGUAGUAGAGAGUAGUAGAAUCAGGAGAGGAGAGUAGUAGAAUCAGGAGAGGAGAGUAGUAGAAUCAGGAGAGGAGAGUAGUAGAAUCAGGAGAGGAGAGUAGUAGAAUCAGGGGAGGAGAGUAGUAGAAUCAGGUGAGGAGAGUAGUAGAGAGUAGUAGAAUCAGGAGAGGAGAGUAGUAGAAUCAGGAGAGGAGAGUAGUAGAAUCAGGAGAGGAGAGUAGUAGAGAGUUGUAGAAUCAGGAGAGGAGAGUAGUAGAAUCAGGAGAGGAGAGUAGUAGAAUCAGGAGAGGAGAGUAGUAGAAUCAGGGGAGGAGAGUAGUAGAAUCAGGAGAGAAGAGUAGUAGAAUCAGGAGAGGAGAGUAGUAGAAUCAGGGGAGAAGAGUAGUAGAAUCAGGAGAGGAGAGUAGUAGAAUCAGGAGAGAAGAGUAGUAGAAUUCCUACUACAUGUAAUUACAAAUGAACAAGGGUGUAAUAACAAAUCCUGUGGUAAAGCUAAACACUUCUGACUUGGUAUGUAAAUCCACUGCCUGGAUCUCACAAUCAAUAUGAGUUGAGGAGGAAUCACCUGGGCUUAAGAAGGUGAAAGGUAUGCCCCCCGCCCCAACCACAACCCACCAUGUCUCGUCAGACUCAAUACCUAUGCAUAUGUACAAUCUUAGCACCUUUUUUUCUAUCUAGAACCAAAAAGGGUUAUUUUGCUGUCCCCAUAGGAGAACCCUUUGAAUAUC